UGAGCAAGGAAAACAGCAAUGUUUGCUUAAAUACAGUACAUGCAUCUGAGUAUCUGAGUCCUGGGGACCUGUGAUGUUCUUCAGAUCCGUGUGUGAUGGUUGCCUCUCUUAAGAGAAGAAGAUCCUGCCAGGAUGAUCAGUGAGGAUAUCUGUGGCAAGAUGCUUGGAAAGAGCGUGCACAGAAGCCUUUCCGGAUGGUGUGGUGUGAAGGAAAACCACAGGCCGAAGAACUGAAUCAAAGUGUUGCAGCUGAAGAAAAAAGCCAAGAGACUUGGCACCUCUGUGUGAUGAAAUCCAUAUACUGGCUGUGGUUGCAGGGCUGAGCAAAACACAGAGCAGAUGAAGAGAUACAGG
This is a long non-coding RNA of Calidris pugnax (ruff), 354 nucleotides long. RefSeq lists it as uncharacterized. Lineage: Eukaryota; Metazoa; Chordata; Aves; Charadriiformes; Scolopacidae. The record is from RefSeq and is a predicted model, not a curated record. The transcript has 3 exons.